UUCCAACGGUACAAGAUGAGCAUGCGUCCCAUUAGCUAGUUGGUGUGGUAACGGCAUACCAAGGCAACGAUGGGUAGGGGUCCUGAGAGGGAGAUCCCCCACACUGGUACUGAGACACGGACCAGACUCCUACGGGAGGCAGCAGUGAGGAAUAUUGGUCAAUGGGCGCAAGCCUGAACCAGCCAUGCCGCGUGCAGGAUGACGGUCCUAUGGAUUGUAAACUGCUUUUGUACAGGAAGAAACCCUCCCUUGUAAGGGAGCUUGACGGUACUGUAAGAAUAAGGAUCGGCUAACUCCGUGCCAGCAGCCGCGGUAAUACGGAGGAUCCAAGCGUUAUCCGGAAUCAUUGGGUUUAAAGGGUCCGUAGGCGGUUUUAUAAGUCAGUGGUGAAAUCUGGUCGCUCAACGAUCAAACGGCCAUUGAUACUGUAAGACUUGAAUUACUUGGAAGUAACUAGAAUAUGUAGUGUAGCGGUGAAAUGCUUAGAGAUUACAUGGAAUACCGAUUG
This 508-nucleotide ribosomal RNA is filed under the name Flavobacterium columnare. RNAcentral describes it as "bacterial SSU rRNA". It matches the Rfam family "Bacterial small subunit ribosomal RNA", at positions 210 to 715 of the family's 1533-position model. The record is from RNAcentral. Lineage: Bacteria; Pseudomonadati; Bacteroidota; Flavobacteriia; Flavobacteriales; Flavobacteriaceae.